UGGCGGACGGGGUGAGUAUCGCGUAGGAACGUGUCGUGAGGUGGGGGACAACCCUGGGAAACUGGGGCUAAUACCGCAUAGGGACUGAGGUCCAAAGCCGUGAGGCGCCUUAUGAGCGGCCUGCGUCCGAUUAGGUAGUUGGUGGGGUAAAGGCCUACCAAGCCUGCGAUCGGUAGCUGGUCUGAGAGGACGAUCAGCCACACUGGGACUGAGACACGGCCCAG
This 224-nucleotide ribosomal RNA is filed under the name uncultured bacterium. RNAcentral describes it as "partial 16S ribosomal RNA". It matches the Rfam family "Bacterial small subunit ribosomal RNA", at positions 96 to 334 of the family's 1533-position model. The record is from RNAcentral.